CGUUGAACCACGGGUUCCCGUAUAAUCACUGAAGUUAAGGAACGUCGAGUCCUGUCAGUACCUAGAUGGGUGACCGCUUGGGAAUACCGGGUGCU
Acanthosepion pharaonis is the source of this 95-nucleotide non-coding RNA. The record is from the annotation of a GenBank genome assembly. NCBI's taxonomy places the organism in Eukaryota, Metazoa, Mollusca, Cephalopoda, Sepiida, Sepiidae.